UUAAGCGACUAAGCGUACACGGUGGAUGCCCUGGCAGUCAGAGGCGAUGAAGGGCGUGCUAAUCUGCGAUAAGCGCCGGUAAGGUGAUAUGAACCGUUAUAACCGGCGAUCCGAAUGGGGAAACCCAGUGUGAUUCGUCACACUAUCAUUAACUGAAUCCAUAGGUUAAUGAGGCGAACCGGGGGAACUGAAACAUCUAAGUACCCCGAGGAAAAGAAAUCAACCGAGAUUCCCCCAGUAGCGGCGAGCGAACGGGGAGGAGCCCAGAGCCUGAAUCAGCAUGUGUGUUAGUGGAAGCGUCUGGAAAGGCGCGCGAUACAGGGUGACAGCCCCGUACACAAAAGCGCAUGUGCUGUGAGCUCGAUGAGUAGGGCGGGACACGUGGUAUCCUGUCUGAAUAUGGGGGGACCAUCCUCCAAGGCUAAAUACUCCUGACUGACCGAUAGUGAACCAGUACCGUGAGGGAAAGGCGAAAAGAACCCCGGCGAGGGGAGUGAAAAAGAACCUGAAACCGUGUACGUACAAGCAGUGGGAGCCCCACCACUAAGCCAGUGGUGAACUCCACAUCCGCAUCCUUUGCUGAGGAUACGGUUAACGGAGCGAAAGCGACGUUCAACCGCAAAACAAGCAGAGGGGGCUUAGUGGUGGGGUGACUGCGUACCUUUUGUAUAAUGGGUCAGCGACUUAUAUUCUGUAGCAAGGUUAACCGAAUAGGGGAGCCGGAGGGAAACCGAGUCUUAAUUGGGCGUUAAGUUGCAGGGUAUAGACCCGAAACCCGGUGAUCUAGCCAUGGGCAGGUUGAAGGUUGGGUAACACUAACUGGAGGACCGAACCGACUAAUGUUGAAAAAUUAGCGGAUGACCUGUGGCUGGGGGUGAAAGGCCAAUCAAACCGGGAGAUAGCUGGUUCUCCCCGAAAGCUAUUUAGGUAGCGCCUCGUGAAUUCAUCUCCGGGGGUAGAGCACUGUUUCGGCUAGGGGGCCAUCCCGGCUUACCAACCCGAUGCAAACUGCGAAUACCGGAGAAUGUUAUCACGGGAGACACACGGCGGGUGCUAACGUCCGUCGUGAAGAGGGAAACAACCCAGACCGCCAGCUAAGGUCCCAAAGUCAUGGUUAAGUGGGAAACGAUGUGGGAAGGCCCAGACAGCCAGGAUGUUGGCUUAGAAGCAGCCAUCAUUUAAAGAAAGCGUAAUAGCUCACUGGUCGAGUCGGCCUGCGCGGAAGAUGUAACGGGGCUAAACCAUGCACCGAAGCUGCGGCAGCGAACGUAUCACUUAAAGCGAUUCAGCGGGUUACGAUUGACGGAGCGAAGCGACGUCAAAGCGUAUACAAAGUCGAGUCGGUUUAAGGAUACGUUCGUUGGGUAGGGGAGCGUUCUGUAAGCCCGUGAAGGUGGCCUGUGAGGGUUGCUGGAGGUAUCAGAAGUGCGAAUGCUGACAUAAGUAACGAUAAAGCGGGUGAAAAGCCCGCUCGCCGGAAGACCAAGGGUUCCUGUCCAACGUUAAUCGGGGCAGGGUGAGUCGACCCCUAAGGCGAGGCCGAAAGGCGUAGUCGAUGGGAAACGGGUUAAUAUUCCCGUACUUGGUGUUACUGCGAAGGGGGGACGGAGAAGGCUAUGUUGGCCGGGCGACGGUUGUCCCGGUUUAAGCGUGUAGGUGUGUGUUCCAGGUAAAUCCGGUUCACUUUAACACUGAGGCGUGACGACGAGGCACUACGGUGCUGAAGCAACAAAUGCCCUGCUUCCAGGAAAAGCCUCUAAGCAUCAGGUAACAUCAAAUCGUACCCCAAACCGACACAGGUGGUCAGGUAGAGAAUACCAAGGCGCUUGAGAGAACUCGGGUGAAGGAACUAGGCAAAAUGGUGCCGUAACUUCGGGAGAAGGCACGCUGACACGUAGGUGAAGUGAUUUACUCAUGGAGCUGAAGUCAGUCGAAGAUACCAGCUGGCUGCAACUGUUUAUUAAAAACACAGCACUGUGCAAACACGAAAGUGGACGUAUACGGUGUGACGCCUGCCCGGUGCCGGAAGGUUAAUUGAUGGGGUCAGCGCAAGCGAAGCUCCUGAUCGAAGCCCCGGUAAACGGCGGCCGUAACUAUAACGGUCCUAAGGUAGCGAAAUUCCUUGUCGGGUAAGUUCCGACCUGCACGAAUGGCGUAAUGAUGGCCAGGCUGUCUCCACCCGAGACUCAGUGAAAUUGAACUCGCUGUGAAGAUGCAGUGUACCCGCGGCAAGACGGAAAGACCCCGUGAACCUUUACUAUAGCUUGACACUGAACAUUGAGCCUUGAUGUGUAGGAUAGGUGGGAGGCUUUGAAGUGUGGACGCCAGUCUGCAUGGAGCCGACCUUGAAAUACCACCCUUUAAUGUUUGAUGUUCUAACGUGGACCCGUAAUCCGGGUUGCGGACAGUGUCUGGUGGGUAGUUUGACUGGGGCGGUCUCCUCCUAAAGAGUAACGGAGGAGCACGAAGGUUGGCUAAUCCUGGUCGGACAUCAGGAGGUUAGUGCAAUGGCAUAAGCCAGCUUGACUGCGAGCGUGACGGCGCGAGCAGGUGCGAAAGCAGGUCAUAGUGAUCCGGUGGUUCUGAAUGGAAGGGCCAUCGCUCAACGGAUAAAAGGUACUCCGGGGAUAACAGGCUGAUACCGCCCAAGAGUUCAUAUCGACGGCGGUGUUUGGCACCUCGAUGUCGGCUCAUCACAUCCUGGGGCUGAAGUAGGUCCCAAGGGUAUGGCUGUUCGCCAUUUAAAGUGGUACGCGAGCUGGGUUUAGAACGUCGUGAGACAGUUCGGUCCCUAUCUGCCGUGGGCGCUGGAGAACUGAGGGGGGCUGCUCCUAGUACGAGAGGACCGGAGUGGACGCAUCACUGGUGUUCGGGUUGUCAUGCCAAUGGCACUGCCCGGUAGCUAAAUGCGGAAGAGAUAAGUGCUGAAAGCAUCUAAGCACGAAACUUGCCCCGAGAUGAGUUCUCCCUGAGACUUAGAGUCUCCUGAAGGAACGUUGAAGACGACGACGUUGAUAGGCCGGGUGUGUAAGCGCAGCGAUGCGUUGAGCUAACCGGUACUAAUGAACCGUGAGGCUUAACCU
RNAcentral lists this ribosomal RNA (3083 nucleotides) under Salmonella enterica subsp. enterica serovar 4,[5],12:i:-. RNAcentral describes it as "23S ribosomal RNA". It matches the Rfam family "Bacterial large subunit ribosomal RNA". The record is from RNAcentral. Lineage: Bacteria; Pseudomonadati; Pseudomonadota; Gammaproteobacteria; Enterobacterales; Enterobacteriaceae.